RNAcentral lists this RNase P RNA (419 nucleotides) under Ignavibacteriaceae bacterium. Its description in RNAcentral is "RNase P RNA component class A". It matches the Rfam family "Bacterial RNase P class A". From Rfam's summary of the family: Ribonuclease P (RNase P) is a ubiquitous endoribonuclease, found in archaea, bacteria and eukarya as well as chloroplasts and mitochondria. Its best characterised activity is the generation of mature 5'-ends of tRNAs by cleaving the 5'-leader elements of precursor-tRNAs. Lineage: Bacteria; Pseudomonadati; Ignavibacteriota; Ignavibacteria; Ignavibacteriales; Ignavibacteriaceae. The record is from RNAcentral.
AUCUCAAUCCGGGCAAUUGCCUUUCGAAAAGGAAGGAGGAAAGUCCGAACUUCACAGAACAGGGUGCCGGGUAAUUCCCGGGUGUUGUUAAGGUAACUUGGCAGCAACUGAAAGUGCCACAGAAAAAAUACCGCCCCGGUUUUCGGGGUAAGGGUGAAAAGGCGGGGUAAAAGCCCACCGCAUCAAUGGAAACAUUGAUGGUCCCUGUAGGGAUUCCGGAUUUCCGGAACAAGGUAAACCACUCCCGAAGCAAGGUCAAAUAAGGUUGCCAAUCUGUUUAAUCACAGAGGAAAGUUGUUCGCUUUCUUAUGGCUUCCGGGUAGACUGCUGGAUCCUGUUAGCAAUAGCAGGGCUAGACAAAUAAUUGCCGGCCCGUUUAAUCGGGCUUACAGAAUUCGGCUUAUAAGAUUGAGAUUCAU